UACGGAGGAUGCGAGCGUUAUCCGGAUUUAUUGGGUUUAAAGGGUGCGUAGGCGGGAAAUUAAGUCAGCGGUGAAAUUUACAGGCUCAACCUGUACCCUGCCGUUGAAACUGGUUUUCUUGAGUAUAGAUGAAGUAGGCGGAAUUCGUUGUGUAGCGGUGAAAUGCAUAGAUAUAACGAGGAACCCCAAUUGCGUAGGCAGCUUACUAAGCUAUAACUGACGCUGAUGCACGAAAGCGUGGGUAUCAAACAGG
Molecule: ribosomal RNA, 253 nt
Filed under: uncultured Dysgonomonas sp.
Lineage: Bacteria; Pseudomonadati; Bacteroidota; Bacteroidia; Bacteroidales; Dysgonomonadaceae
Description: partial 16S ribosomal RNA
Rfam family: Bacterial small subunit ribosomal RNA
Source: RNAcentral